RNAcentral lists this unclassified non-coding RNA (408 nucleotides) under Hevea brasiliensis (rubber tree). The record is from RNAcentral. Lineage: Eukaryota; Viridiplantae; Streptophyta; Magnoliopsida; Malpighiales; Euphorbiaceae.
GGUUAUACGGAUCGAUGAACUGUGUACUUUACGACCAUGCGACGGUGACGGCGACGCCAUUAGCGUGCAUGUCGAAUCGUAAUAACCUCAACUGCGGCGGGUCGAAAACGUUUCCGUCGACUGUAUUCGGGCCCACCUGUGAUGCACUUGAUACCGUGUUAAGGGAUUACCAGUUACCGGAGCUACAGGUUAAUGACUGGCUGAUUUUUCCUAAUAUGGGUGCUUAUACAAAAGCUGCUGGAUCAAAUUUCAAUGGAUUUAACACAUCCGCCAUUGUUACUCACCUUGCUUAUGCUUAUCCAAACUAAUGAUUAAUUAGGCUUUAAUUAGCAUGGUCAUUGUAAUUUUUUUUCUUCUAAUUUUGUUCUUGUUUGGUAAUUUAUUUUCCAAUCAGCUUGUAGUUUCUUU